CACAUGCAAGUCGAGCGGGCCCUUCGGGGUCAGCGGCGGACGGGUGAGUAACGCGUGGGAACGUGCCUUCUGGUUCGGAAUAAUCCUGGGAAACUAGGGCUAAUACCGGAUACGCCCUUUUGGGGAAAGGUUUACUGCCGGAAGAUCGGCCCGCGUCUGAUUAGCUAGUUGGUGGGGUAACGGCCUACCAAGGCGACGAUCAGUAGCUGGUCUGAGAGGAUGAUCAGCCACACUGGGACUGAGACACGGCCCAGACUCCUACGGGAGGCAGCAGUGGGGAAUAUUGGACAAUGGGCGCAAGCCUGAUCCAGCCAUGCCGCGUGAGUGAUGAAGGCCUUAGGGUUGUAAAGCUCUUUUAUCCGGGACGAUAAUGACGGUACCGGAGGAAUAAGCCCCGGCUAACUUCGUGCCAGCAGCCGCGGUAAUACGAAGGGGGCUAGCGUUGCUCGGAAUCACUGGGCGUAAAGGGCGCGUAGGCGGCGUUUUAAGUCGGGGGUGAAAGCCUGUGGCUCAACCACAGAAUGGCCUUCGAUACUGGGACGCUUGAGUAUGGUAGAGGUUGGUGGAACUGCGAGUGUAGAGGUGAAAUUCGUAGAUAUUCGCAAGAACACCGGUGGCGAAGGCGGCCAACUGGAC
Molecule: ribosomal RNA, 636 nt
Filed under: uncultured Alphaproteobacteria bacterium
Lineage: Bacteria; Pseudomonadati; Pseudomonadota; Alphaproteobacteria
Description: bacterial SSU rRNA
Rfam family: Bacterial small subunit ribosomal RNA
Source: RNAcentral